GAGAGUGUAGCUUAGUGGUAAGAGUGUGUGCUUAGUAUGUACAAUUCUUGGGUUCAAUCCCCUGUACCUCCA
Molecule: transfer RNA, 72 nt
Filed under: Camelus bactrianus (Bactrian camel)
Lineage: Eukaryota; Metazoa; Chordata; Mammalia; Artiodactyla; Camelidae
Also listed under: 1 other name
Rfam family: tRNA
About the family: Transfer RNA (tRNA) molecules are approximately 80 nucleotides in length. Their secondary structure includes four short double-helical elements and three loops (D, anti-codon, and T loops). Further hydrogen bonds mediate the characteristic L-shaped molecular structure. tRNAs have two regions of fundamental functional importance: the anti-codon, which is responsible for specific mRNA codon recognition, and the 3' end, to which the tRNAs corresponding amino acid is attached (by aminoacyl-tRNA synthetases). tRNAs cope with the degeneracy of the genetic code in two manners: having more than one tRNA (with a specific anti-codon) for a particular amino acid; and 'wobble' base-pairing, i.e. permitting non-standard base-pairing at the 3rd anti-codon position.
Source: Rfam by way of RNAcentral